Molecule: long non-coding RNA, 426 nt
Organism: Drosophila subobscura
Lineage: Eukaryota; Metazoa; Arthropoda; Insecta; Diptera; Drosophilidae
Exons: 2
Source: RefSeq, a predicted model, not a curated record
CCAAUCGCUUAAUGCCAAUCGCGUCCGCUUUGUGUGCUGAAAAUAUAACAAUAUAAUAAUUAUCCAAGCCAGAUAAAGUGCCCAGCAGUCCAUUUUUGUGCAUAGUUAUUAAUAUAGAAAAUACCAAAGAAACUAAACCCAGAGCGACAGAGAGAGGUUGGGAGAACAAAAGCCUUAAAACCAGAAGGAAAUCAGCAAAUAGCAGCCUAGCAACUGGUUCCAUCCAAAGGUAAUGUGAAGAUUAAACCAUAAUAAUACCAAAAGCAAAGAAAACCCAAGUGAAAAUACAAAAUAUCCCGUAAAAAUACUACAGAUAUACAUAGUAUAUACCACAGCCAAAAGAUCCGACGAUAGAUGGAAAGAGUGUCGCCGUGCAAGCGCGGAGAGAGCUAAAAGCGAAAAGUCCAACUGAGAAUCAAUAUAGCC